GCGCCCUUAAUUCAGUGGGAGAAUACCGCAGCCGGAUAUAGCGGGGGCGCUGGUUCAAUUCCAGCAGGGCGUU
Molecule: transfer RNA, 73 nt
Filed under: Blautia producta
Lineage: Bacteria; Bacillati; Bacillota; Clostridia; Lachnospirales; Lachnospiraceae
Also listed under: 9 other names
Description: tRNA-OTHER
Rfam family: tRNA
About the family: Transfer RNA (tRNA) molecules are approximately 80 nucleotides in length. Their secondary structure includes four short double-helical elements and three loops (D, anti-codon, and T loops).
Source: RNAcentral